This 58-nucleotide transfer RNA is filed under the name Cricetulus griseus (Chinese hamster). It matches the Rfam family "tRNA", at positions 8 to 63 of the family's 71-position model. From Rfam's summary of the family: Transfer RNA (tRNA) molecules are approximately 80 nucleotides in length. Their secondary structure includes four short double-helical elements and three loops (D, anti-codon, and T loops). The record is from Rfam by way of RNAcentral. Lineage: Eukaryota; Metazoa; Chordata; Mammalia; Rodentia; Cricetidae.
UGGCUCAGUGGUCAAGAGCACUGGAUGCUCUUCCAGAGGACCUGGGUUCAAUUCCCAA